Molecule: unclassified non-coding RNA, 256 nt
Filed under: plant metagenome
Description: partial contains small subunit ribosomal RNA, internal transcribed spacer 1, and 5.8S ribosomal RNA
Rfam family: Eukaryotic small subunit ribosomal RNA (bases 1-54)
Source: RNAcentral
GGAAGUAAAAGUCAUAACAAGGUUUCCGUAGGUGAACCUGCGGAAGGAUCAUUAAAGUUAUAGUCCCCCGGCCCUCUGGGCUGGGGUCUUCUAUACCACCCUUUGUUUAUUACACCUUUGUUGCUUUGGCAGGCCGGCCCUCGGGCUGCUGGCUCCGGCCGGCUCGCGUCUGCCAGAGGACCUAAACUCUGUUUGUAUAUGAAGUCUGAGUACUAUAUAAUAGUUAAAACUUUCAACAACGGAUCUCUUGGUUCUG